Molecule: transfer RNA, 74 nt
Filed under: Apaloderma vittatum (bar-tailed trogon)
Lineage: Eukaryota; Metazoa; Chordata; Aves; Trogoniformes; Trogonidae
Rfam family: tRNA
About the family: Transfer RNA (tRNA) molecules are approximately 80 nucleotides in length. Their secondary structure includes four short double-helical elements and three loops (D, anti-codon, and T loops).
Source: Rfam by way of RNAcentral
GGCCAGUUAGCUCAGUCGGUUAGAGCGUGGUGCUGAUAACACCAAGGCUGUGGGUUCGAUCCCCAUUCGGUCCC